RNAcentral lists this long non-coding RNA (585 nucleotides) under Nicotiana benthamiana. RNAcentral describes it as "long non-coding RNA (NBEN_LNC002541)". Lineage: Eukaryota; Viridiplantae; Streptophyta; Magnoliopsida; Solanales; Solanaceae. The record is from RNAcentral.
UGGGUACAUAAUCCAUCGAACCACGCCACACAAUCCUCGGGAUACCCGGCAUAGCCAAUGUGACUGUCUUGGCAUAGUCUAGAAUAGCAUGGCACGAUGAUAACCAAUCCAUGCCCAGAAUAACAUCAAAAUCCACCAUGCUCAAUAGUAGCAAGUCAGCUCGGGUCUCCAGACCCUCAAUUGUAACAAGACAGGACCGAUACACGUGGUCACCCACUAGGGUAGAUACAUGCACAGGCAAUGCUAGACACCCUCGGGUAGUCGCCAAAUGAUGAGCAAAGUAACCAGAUACAUAAGACUAUGUAUCCCUGGGAUCAAACAAAGCAGAAGCCUCCCUGUGGCAAACUGAGAUAAUACAUGUGAUCACUGCAUCUAAAGCAACAACAUCUCUCCUAUCUAGGAGUGCAUAGAAACAAGCCUGACCACCGCUCGAAUGCUCAUCCCUCCUGGGGCGGCCUCUAGAUGGCUGACCCCCACCAUUACUAGACUGGGAUGGUGCUGAAGUAGAUGAAGAAGAAUAGGAGGGCUGAUCCCUUUGCUGAAACCUACCACCGCGAAGUCGAGGACAAUGUCUCUUCAAAUGAC